This 255-nucleotide ribosomal RNA is filed under the name uncultured bacterium. RNAcentral describes it as "partial 16S ribosomal RNA". It matches the Rfam family "Bacterial small subunit ribosomal RNA", at positions 524 to 776 of the family's 1533-position model. The record is from RNAcentral.
UACGAAGGGGGCUAGCGUUGCUCGGAAUGACUGGGCGUAAAGGGCGCGUAGGCGGAUGGCACAGUCAGAUGUGAAAUUCCCGGGCUUAACCUGGGGGCUGCAUUUGAUACGUGUUGUCUUGAGUUCGGAAGAGGGUCGUGGAAUUCCCAGUGUAGAGGUGAAAUGCGUAGAUAUCAGGAGGAAUACCGAUGGCGAAGGCAGGUCUGCUGGGCUGACACGUGACGCUCAUGCACGAAAGCGUGGGGAGCAAACAGG